This is a long non-coding RNA of Pecten maximus, 368 nucleotides long. RefSeq lists it as uncharacterized. The record is from RefSeq and is a predicted model, not a curated record. The transcript is spliced from 3 exons. Lineage: Eukaryota; Metazoa; Mollusca; Bivalvia; Pectinida; Pectinidae.
UGAGCCACCUCUCCAGUAGUGUACACAGCCACCAGUGCAGUGAGCCACCUCUCCAGUAGUGUACACAGCCACCAGUGCAGUGAGCCACCUCUCCAGUAGUGUACACAGCCACCACUGCAGUGAGCCACCUCUCCAGUAGUGUACACAGCCACCAGUGCAUCAAAUGUAGACAGUGAGUCCGGCAUUAAGUCAGUCAUCAAUCGAUCAGUCCAGUAGCCUACCAGUCAAAUCUGCUAUCAACUAAUCAAAUGUACACAUGGACUUGGCCAUCAGUCAGCCACUAGUCACCAGUCAUCAGUCCAGUAACUAGUCACCAGUCCAGUUACCAGUCAUCAGUCCAGUUACCAGUCAUCAGUCCAGUAACUAGU